GACGAACGCUGGCGGCGUGCUUAACACAUGCAAGUCGAACGGAAAGGCCCUGCUCUUGCUGGGUGCUCGUGUGGCGAACGGGUGAGUAACACGUGAGUAACCUGCCCUUGACUUUGGGAUAUCUUCAGGAAACAGGGGCUAUUAUCGGAUAGGAGCUCUUGCUGCACGGUGGGGGUUGGAAAGUUUCGGCGUUUGGGGAUAUACUCGCGGGUUAUCAGCUGGUUGGUGGGGUAGUGGCUUACAAAGCGUUCGACGGGUAGCCGGCAUGGGAGGGGGACCGGGCACAUUGGGACUGAGAUACGGCCCAGACGGCUACGGGAGGCAGCAGUGGGGAAUAUUGCACAAUGGGCGGAAGUCUGAUGUAGCAACGCCGCGUGCGGGAUGACGGCCUUCGGGUUGUAAACCGCUUUCUCCUGUGACGAAGCGUGAGUGACGGUAAUGGGUAAAGAAGCACCGGCUAACUACGUG
Molecule: ribosomal RNA, 468 nt
Filed under: uncultured bacterium
Lineage: Bacteria
Description: partial 16S ribosomal RNA
Rfam family: Bacterial small subunit ribosomal RNA
Source: RNAcentral